CCGUGCUACGUGGGGCGCUAGGGGUGUCCUGUAGCCCGAAACCCUCUACAUGCGGGGCGGAAUGCCCGCCGAAGGGUGGUGGGGUCCCGUGGUGAGCGGCCGGCACGCGGCGUUGACGGCCGGGUCCUACGCAGCGGACCGUUCGUGAACCGGGUCAGGUCCGGGAGGAAGCAGCCCUAAGCGAGGCGCUCCGGGUGCCGUGGGAGUGCCGGGCCCGAGUUGGCGACCGGCUCGCGCUAUCGGAUCCACAUUCGACGGCGGGCUGCUCGG
Molecule: signal recognition particle RNA, 270 nt
Filed under: bacterium
Lineage: Bacteria
Description: signal recognition particle sRNA large type
Rfam family: Bacterial large signal recognition particle RNA
About the family: The signal recognition particle (SRP) is a universally conserved ribonucleoprotein involved in the co-translational targeting of proteins to membranes. Archaeal SRP consists of a 7S RNA and homologues of the eukaryotic SRP19 and SRP54 proteins.
Source: RNAcentral